AUUGAACGCUGGCGGCAGGCCUAACACAUGCAAGUCGAGCGGAUGAAGGGAGCUUGCUCCUGGAUUCAGCGGCGGACGGGUGAGUAAUGCCUAGGAAUCUGCCUGGUAGUGGGGGAUAACGUCCGGAAACGGGCGCUAAUACCGCAUACGUCCUGAGGGAGAAAGUGGGGGAUCUUCGGACCUCACGCUAUCAGAUGGGCCUAGGUCGGAUUAGCUAGUUGGUGGGGUAAAGGCCUACCAAGGCGACGAUCCGUAACUGGUCUGAGAGGAUGAUCAGUCACACUGGAACUGAGACACGGUCCAGACUCCUACGGGAGGCAGCAGUGGGGAAUAUUGGACAAUGGGCGAAAGCCUGAUCCAGUCAUGCCGCGUGUGUGAAGAAGGUCUUCGGAUUGUAAAGCACUUUAAGUUGGGAGGAAGGGCAGUAAGUUAAUACCUUGCUGUUUUGACGUUACCAACAGAAUAAGCACCGGCUAACUUCGUG
Molecule: ribosomal RNA, 484 nt
Filed under: uncultured bacterium
Lineage: Bacteria
Description: partial 16S ribosomal RNA
Rfam family: Bacterial small subunit ribosomal RNA
Source: RNAcentral